CUGGCUCAGGACGAACGCUGGCGGCUUGCUUAACCACAUGCAAGUCGAACGAUGACGGUGGUGCUUGCACCGCCUGAUUAGUGGCGAACGGGUGAGUAACACGUGAGUAACCUGCCCUCCACUUCGGGAUAACCUCGGGAAAUCGUGGCUAAUACCGGAUAUGAGCACUCAUCGCAUGGUGGGUGUUGGAAAGAUUUAUCGGUGGUGGAUGGACUCGCGGCCUAUCAGUUUGUUGGUGAGGUGAUGGCUCACCAAGACGAUGACGGGUAGCCGGCCUGAGAGGGCGACCGGCCACACUGGGACUGAGACACGGCCCAGACUCCUACGGGAGGCAGCAGUGGGGAAUAUUGCACAAUGGGCGAAAGCCUGAUGCAGCGACGCCGCGUGGGGGAUGACGGCCUUCGGGUUGUAAACCCCUUUCAGUAGGGAAGAAGCGAGAGUGACGGUACCUGCAGAAGAAGCGCCGGCUAACUACGUGCCAGCAGCCGCGGUAAUACGUAGGGCGCAAGCGUUGUCCGGAAUUAUUGGGCGUAAAGAGCUUGUAGGUGGCUUGUCGCGUCUGCCGUGAAAACCCGAGGCUCAACCUCGGGCGUGCGGUGGGUACGGGCAGGCUAGAGUGUGGUAGGGGAGACUGGAACUCCUGGUGUAGCGGUGAAAUGCGCAGAUAUCAGGAAGAACACCGAUGGCGAAGGCAGGUCUCUGGGCCAUUACUGACACUGAGAAGCGAAAGCAUGGGUAGCGAACAGGAUUAGAUACCCUGGUAGUCCAUGCCGUAAACGUUGGGCACUAGGUGUGGGGGACAUUCCACGUUUUCCGCGCCGUAGCU
This 826-nucleotide ribosomal RNA is filed under the name Brachybacterium sp. RNAcentral describes it as "bacterial SSU rRNA". It matches the Rfam family "Bacterial small subunit ribosomal RNA", at positions 19 to 853 of the family's 1533-position model. The record is from RNAcentral. Lineage: Bacteria; Bacillati; Actinomycetota; Actinomycetes; Micrococcales; Dermabacteraceae.